CAAUAGCGUAUAUUAAAGUUGUUGCAGUUAACAAGCUCGUAGUUGGAUUUGUGGCGUACGGUGUGUUCCGGGCACUUGUUGUCUGAGUAACCUGCUGUUGCCAUCCUUGGGUGGAACCUGUGUGGCAUUAGGUUGUCGUGCAGGGGAUGCCCAUCAUUUACUGUGAAAAAAUUAGAGUGUUCAAAGCAGGCUUAUGCCGUUGAAUAUAUUAGCAUGGAAUAAUGAGAUAGGACUUUUUUGCUAUUUUGUUGGUUUGCGCAAAGAGGUAAUGAUUAAUAGGGACAGUUGGGGGUAUUCGUAUUCCAUUGUCAGAGGUGAAAUUCUUGGAUUUUUGGAAGACGAACUACUGCGAAAGCAUUUACCAAGGAUGUUUUCAUUAA
Molecule: ribosomal RNA, 380 nt
Filed under: uncultured eukaryote
Lineage: Eukaryota
Description: partial 18S ribosomal RNA
Rfam family: Eukaryotic small subunit ribosomal RNA
Source: RNAcentral